This 605-nucleotide ribosomal RNA is filed under the name Mesoceration hirsutum. Its description in RNAcentral is "partial large subunit ribosomal RNA". The stretch from base 402 to 562 matches the Rfam family "Bacterial large subunit ribosomal RNA", at positions 2473 to 2632 of the family's 2925-position model. Lineage: Eukaryota; Metazoa; Arthropoda; Insecta; Coleoptera; Hydraenidae. The record is from RNAcentral.
GUCUUUUUGAUAANUAANUUUAAAGUCUAGUCUGCCCAAUGNANNAUUANUUGAAUGGCCGCGGNNUAUUUUGACUGUGCAAAGGUAGCAUAAUAAUUAGUUUUUUAAUUGAAAGCUGGUAUGAAUGGCUGAACGAGAAAAUUACUGUCUCAAUUUNAAAUUUAUUAGAAUUUUAUUUUUAAGUUAAAAAGCUUAAAUUAAAUUAAAAGACGAGAAGACCCUAUAGAGUUUNAAUAAUUAUUUUANAUUNNUUNUANUUUUAGAAAUANGNNNUUUUUAUUNAUAUUAAUUAUUUUAUUGGGGUGAUAUAUAAAUUUAGUAAACUUUANUNAAAUNUUAAUACAUAUUUUUAUGAAUAAGUGAUCCAUUAAUAUAUGAUUAUAAGAUUUAAUUACCUUAGGGAUAACAGCGUAAUCUUUUUAAAGAGUUCUAAUCGAAAAAAAGGAUUGCGACCUCGAUGUUGGAUUAAAAUUAAUAUUUGGUGUAGAAGCUNAANAUAAUUAGGUCUGUUCGACCUUUAAAAUUUUACAUGAUCUGAGUUUAAAUCGGUGUGAGCCAGGUUGGUUUCUAUCUUUAAUAUNAUUAAAUUAUUUUAGUACGAAAGG